This 1440-nucleotide ribosomal RNA is filed under the name Triticum aestivum (bread wheat). RNAcentral's name for it is "partial small subunit ribosomal RNA". Lineage: Eukaryota; Viridiplantae; Streptophyta; Magnoliopsida; Poales; Poaceae. The record is from RNAcentral.
AUGGCUCUCACCAGAAUUGGUCUUGCCGGCCUCGCCGUCAUGGGCCAGAACCUUGCCCUCAACAUUGCAGAGAAAGGGUUCCCCAUCUCUGUCUACAACAGGACCACCUCCAAGGUCGAUGAGACUGUUCAGCGCGCCAAGCUAGAAGGAAACCUUCCUCUCUACGGUUUCCAUGACCCUGCAUCCUUCGUCAACUCCAUUCAGAAACCACGUGUCGUCAUCAUGCUUGUCAAGGCCGGUGCUCCUGUUGACCAGACCAUCGCAACGCUCGCAGCACACCUGGAGCAGGGCGACUGCAUCGUUGAUGGAGGAAACGAGUGGUACGAGAACACGGAAAGGAGGGAGAAGGCGAUGGAGGAGCGUGGACUCCUCUACCUCGGGAUGGGUGUUUCCGGAGGAGAGGAGGGUGCCCGCCAUGGCCCCUCCAUGAUGCCUGGAGGCUCAUUGGAGGCAUACCAGUACAUUGAAGACAUUCUUCUCAAGGUGUCUGCUCAGGUCCCUGACAGCGGCCCGUGCGUCACAUACAUUGGGAAGGGUGGAUCCGGAAACUUUGUCAAGAUGGUUCACAAUGGCAUUGAGUACGGUGACAUGCAACUCAUUGCUGAGGCGUACGACGUUCUCAAGUCGGUUGGGAAGCUCACAAACGGUGAGCUGCAGCAGGUUUUCGCGGAGUGGAACAAGGGUGAACUCCUCAGUUUCUUGGUUGAGAUCACUGCUGAUAUCUUCAGCAUCAAGGAUGACCAGGGUGAGGGCUACUUGGUCGACAAGGUCCUGGACAAGACCGGGAUGAAGGGAACCGGGAAGUGGACAGUGCAGCAAGCUGCUGAGCUCUCUGUGGCUGCUCCUACCAUUGAGGCGUCCUUGGAUUCCAGGUUCCUCAGCGGGCUGAAGGAUGAGCGUGUCGCGGCUUCCAAGAUCUUCCAGGGUGACUACUCCAGUGGUGAAACUGUCGACAAGGCACAGCUGAUCGAGGAUGUGAGGAAGGCCCUCUACGCCUCCAAGAUCUGCAGCUACGCCCAAGGCAUGAACAUCAUCAAGGCCAAGAGCACGGAGAAGGGAUGGGGCCUCAAUCUCGGCGAGCUGGCCAGGAUCUGGAAGGGCGGGUGCAUCAUCCGCGCCAGCUUCCUGGACCGCAUCAAGAAGGCGUAUGACAGGAACGGUGAGCUCGCCAACCUUCUCAUCGACCCCGAGUUCGCGCAGGAGAUCAUGGACAGGCAAGCUGCAUGGAGGAGGGUUGUCUGCCUCGCCAUCAACAACGGCGUCAGCACCCCUGGCAUGUCCGCGAGUCUGGCCUACUUCGACUCCUACCGGAGGGACAGGCUCCCUGCCAACCUCGUCCAGGCCCAGAGGGACUACUUCGGGGCGCACACCUACGAGAGGGUUGACAUGCCCGGCUCCUUCCACACCGAGUGGUACAAGAUUGCCAACUCAAAGAUCUAA